GUGUCAGCAGCCGCGGUAAUACGUAGGGUGCGAGCGUUGUCCGGAAUUAUUGGGCGUAAAGGGCUCGUAGGCGGUUUGUCGCGUCGGGAGUGAAAACACUGGGCUUAACUCAGUGCUUGCUUCCGAUACGGGCAGACUAGAGGUAUUCAGGGGAGAACGGAAUUCCUGGUGUAGCGGUGAAAUGCGCAGAUAUCAGGAGGAACACCGGUGGCGAAGGCGGUUCUCUGGGAAUGUCCUGACGCUGAGGAGCGAAAGUGUGGGGAGCGAACAGGAUUAGAAACCCGGGUAGUCC
RNAcentral lists this ribosomal RNA (292 nucleotides) under uncultured bacterium. Its description in RNAcentral is "partial 16S ribosomal RNA". It matches the Rfam family "Bacterial small subunit ribosomal RNA", at positions 505 to 796 of the family's 1533-position model. The record is from RNAcentral.